This 221-nucleotide long non-coding RNA is filed under the name Brassica napus (rape). RNAcentral describes it as "long non-coding RNA (BNAP_LNC010478)". The record is from RNAcentral. Lineage: Eukaryota; Viridiplantae; Streptophyta; Magnoliopsida; Brassicales; Brassicaceae.
GACCAUUUUGUCCUUGCUAGUCACAACCAUAACGGCUCAAGGUCCUCGAUCUUGAUCUGAAGAAAUGUACACCCAAAAUCAUCCCCAACGACUUACUUAACUCACUUCUUGAAACUAACUUUUGAUCUGCAGCGGUUGGAAAAUAAACGGUCUGCAUGACUUGGUUAACCUCUUUAGAAAUAAUAGCUUGUUUAACAUUCACGUCAUACUCUAACAUCUCC